CUAAAACCUGAAAUGGGAACAGCAUAGACAUGAUCCCAGGCCCACCCUUAUCCCUCGCCCAGGGCCCUUCCCAGUUACCCAGCCCAAGUUGGGAGGCAGAAGAUCCAUGUCACAGAUGGCCUGCGGCCUCAGGACCACCCAGCAGGCUGGAGCCCCUAUUUGGCAAGUGACCCCAGGAACUGGGACCUGCAGGUGUGGGCGACUCAGGCCACCUUCCCAGGCGUGCUGAGCAAGUGAGUGCAGCGAGAGAACAUUUGCUGCGUUUCCUAGGAGCUGGGCCCUUCAGACAUUCUCCAUAGCCCUCACUACGAAAGCCUGUCCCACAGGCGGUGGAGGCUCAAGGUGAUACCUAUUCAUGAUCCCUCACCUCUGCACAGUGCUUUACAGUUUAUAAUGUUUCUUCAUCCACAGAGUACCUGAUUUUCAUAACAACCCUGUGAGGCUCUCUGUCCCGCUGACGGUGGACCAUGGCCCCUGCACCAUUGGCCAUGGGGGAGCCAUCACCCCGCCAGGACCUCACCUCCUGCAGAAGGCACAGAAAGAGUUAGGAGCAUGAGCAGGUCAGGCGGGAAUCCGGGGACCUGUGCACCGGAGGCUGGAGUCGAGAGAGUGCAGGGUGGGAGGCAGCUGAGAGGUUAGGAGCAGCAGGGCCACCGGGUACAGCGGGAGGAGCCUGUUAGUGCCCUGAAGCACCUCCACCAGCAGCAGCAGCAGCACCGGCAGCCCAGCGGGCUCGGCCCACUACCUUCUCGUGCUCCUGCCGGCUCAGGCGCAGAGCCAGCUGCAGCUGCAGGUCCUCGUCCCUGUGGGAGGCUGGGGGGACAGGCUGCGGAGGAAGAGAGGGGUAAACUUGGCCCUGUACCCCCACCUUGGGACCAGAAGGGCAGUAUAGGCCUGCCUGGGUCAUGGGGAUGGAGACACUAAUGCCCACCCUCAGUGUGCAUGGGCCAUUUGCCCCUUAGUCGGCAGGGUGGGCGUGGCCUUCUCCCUGCCUGCAUCUGAAAUGCAGUUUAAAGGUCAGGAAGACUGAUCUUUCGCUUCUGAAUCCUCUGAGAGUUCCUCAGGCCCUCCUGUCUGAGGCCCAGCUGCUUCCUGCCUGGUCUUCCUGGAUCCACAGAGGGCCAGCUGCAGCUGCAGUUCCUCUUCCCCUGACGUCUGAGGCCGGGCCUGCUCCAGGUCGGAGGUAUAGCGGGGUGACGAAGAGGAGGCUGCAAUGACCAUCAUGUCUCUGUGACCACACGAUUACCCAUCGGCUCCCACACCCCUCUGCCUGCCAGGAAGCUGAGGCUCAAAGAAGAGAACUGAGAGGAGGGGAACAACGGCCGUUGAGGCCCCCGUGGGCCAAGCAGUGUGCCAGGCACUCUAUCAAACAAUGGAGGUAGGUGAGCUUAUCCCCACUGUACAGAUGAGGAAACUGAGGUUCAGAGAACUGGUUGCCCAGGUCACACAGCUUGGAGGAAGCAGAAUAUAGAAUGCUAUCUGACUCCAAACCCAUGCUUCCACUAUCGCGCCAUCCUAUCAGGCAGCUAACGAAUGAUAAUGAAUCUAUAACAACAUUAUUAUCUGA
Pan troglodytes (chimpanzee) is the source of this 1567-nucleotide long non-coding RNA. RefSeq lists it as uncharacterized. The transcript has 5 exons. The record is from RefSeq and is a predicted model, not a curated record. NCBI's taxonomy places the organism in Eukaryota, Metazoa, Chordata, Mammalia, Primates, Hominidae.